This is a long non-coding RNA of Dendronephthya gigantea, 107 nucleotides long. RefSeq lists it as uncharacterized. The transcript has 3 exons. The record is from RefSeq and is a predicted model, not a curated record. NCBI's taxonomy places the organism in Eukaryota, Metazoa, Cnidaria, Anthozoa, Malacalcyonacea, Nephtheidae.
CUGUUUUACAGCACAGAAGAACAUUUUGAGGUUCAAAUUAUGACUGAUGAAAGUACAUCGAUAUCAGAGCAAGACCAGAUAAAGGAUAAAAUGGAAGUAACGACACC